AUUAUUUUAAAUGUAAAUUGGUUUACCUAAUUAUUAUUAGUUAUGAUCUUUAAAAUUAAAAGAUUUGGCGGUAUUUUAGUCUAUUUAGAGGAACCUGUUCAGUAAUUGAUAUUCCACAAUAAACUAUACUUUUAUUAUUAAGUUUGUAUAUCGUCGUUAUUAGAAGAUUUUAUAAGAAUUUUAAAUUUUUAAUAUUUUUUAUUAGAAAAUAUAUCAGAUCAAGGUGCAGUUAUAUAUAAAAGGUUGAAAUGGGUUACAUUGAGAAGAACUUAUACGGAUUAUUUUAUGAUAAUAAUUUAUAAAGGGGGAUUUAAUAGUAAAUUUAUUUAUAUAGAUAUAUUGAUUAUAGCUCUAAAAUAUGU
RNAcentral lists this ribosomal RNA (362 nucleotides) under Phreatodytes haibaraensis. RNAcentral describes it as "partial 12S ribosomal RNA". The record is from RNAcentral. Lineage: Eukaryota; Metazoa; Arthropoda; Insecta; Coleoptera; Noteridae.